RNAcentral lists this long non-coding RNA (2130 nucleotides) under Homo sapiens (human). RNAcentral's name for it is "HSALNT0096726". Lineage: Eukaryota; Metazoa; Chordata; Mammalia; Primates; Hominidae. The record is from RNAcentral.
CCACAAGCGAGUUGGGGCAUUCAGACUGGGGCAUCGGUUAAAAGCUGUACAAGGUCACGGGUAGCAUGGAUUCAUCCAGUGGGUCAGUCAAUAGAGGUCAUUCAAUGUGACUUCUCAUGUAGCUUGCUGGAGGACACACACUGUCUUCUCUCUGAGAUCUUCAGUUAAAUCCUCAUUGUUCAACAUUAGCUCUCUGAGUGGAUUCUUUGGGAGCAACCUGAGGAGGGGCUGAACUUUACAUCUGGGUCCCUUUAGUGGAUAGCAGAGAUAAUCUCCUGGACUUGGGAGCCAGGGAAAAGCAGCCCUACAAACUGAAGCUAGACAACUUUAUAUAAACUUUGGGAGAAAUCAUCACAGCAACUUACAUGUAAACAACCUCCGUGCUUGUUGACGGAUGGACUACUCAGAAAGUCCACUGUGUUGACCUAAUGGAAGAAACUGAGGCAAAAUUAAUAUAAGUAGAGAGUUUAUUUGGGUCAAGUUUGAAGACUGCAGCCUGGAAGACAUAAAUUCAAGUUGCCCUGAAUAUAUCCUCCAAUUAGCAGCAGUUACAAGUGAGUUUUGAAAUAAAAAAACAGGGACAGUUCUUAAGCUGUUUGUCAAGAAUUUGCAUUGGUUCAUAAAAAUAACAUAAGCCAUCAAUUUGAUGUUCAUUGUUCUUUGUAUCACAAAUUCCAGGAACAUGAAGAUAGUGGGUGAGGGUCAUGUUGUGCAACUUGUGGUGACAUUUUAGGAAAUUUAUCAGCUAGUUUGGGAACUACAGGGAAAGAAAGAAAAAACAAAACGCCUUGAAACAAUUACCCCUGGGCAUGGCUGUGGGGGACCAGACUGAAGUCUCAUGCUCCUGUCACUUUGGGCCUGAUAAAUUUUCCUUACAAUCUUCAGACUGCUCUGAGACACAUUUCUUUCUUAACUGGAACAUCUGAUUCAAACUACAAUCCAUGAAAGUCUGUCAGAUUGUCACUGCCUGCCUAUGGCAACUGAAGAUGCUUCAGAAACUCUAGAAAAACUAGUUUAUAGACUACAGUGAUAGUCCUUUUUUGUGUCACUAUCAAGGAAUACCUGAGGCUGGGUAAUUUACAAAGAAAAGAGGUUUAUUUGGCUCAUGGUUUUGCAGGCUGUAGAGGAAGCAUGGCAGCAGGUUGCCUCAGCUUCUGGUGAAGUUCAGGAAGCUUCCAAUCAUGGCAGAGGCAAAGUGGGAGCAGACGCAUCACAUGGUGAGAGCAGGAACAAGAGAGAGAAGGGGGGGGCCCAGAUUCUUUUACACAACCAGAUCUCGUGUGAACUGAGUGAAAACUCGCCCAUCACCAAGGGGAUGGUGCUAAGCCAUUCAUGAGGAUCCACCUCAACGGUCCAGUCACCUCCCUCCAGGCCCCACCUCCAACAAUGAGGAUCACAUUUCAAUGUGAGGGGACAGAGAUCCAAAUCAUAGUAAGUACUCUGGACCUUCACCUUUGUUUUUCUUCUGUUUCCAUAGAAAGGCAUCUUAUUAAAGAUCUGUUUGCCUGCACUAUAUAUAGAGGCCUAGCUUUGAGAGCCCCUCUGCAGCGCCAUCUCCUGAAAUGAGACAUGACUGUUUAAUUGAACUGACCUAUUUCUAGAAACAGGAGACUGGUUUAAUGGGAUCCUUUGCCACUUGGCUAUUAACUCAAUUUUUCUCUGCACAGCCACUAACUCAGCUUUUAAAGUAUGAAACUUCUAGGGAAGUUUCAGAAAGGUAAUGUUGGGGUUCAGAAAAUGAUACCUUGAAGUCUGGACAUGCUGAAAGGCCUUAGAAGUGGCCUCAGAGUCAAUGUCCCUCUAACCUUGUCUGUCUCCCACCCCCAACCCCAACCAAAUGAAGAAAUACAAUUGUCUUCCUCCCUUCCCUGAAAUCUCAUUAUCUAUCUCAGAAAAGAAGACUGAAGAAUGCAACCACACUUGGAUGGACUUUUUCAGAAGAUAAUGCCUGCCACUGGAGGCUCAUUCAAAUUUCAAAGAGAAUCUAUAGUUAAUUUCUGUUCAUUCAUAUUUCCUAAUAAUCAUUUGCAGCUCCUCAAAAGAAUUGUCUGAAUUCUUCAUCUCCUUCCUCCCCUAUGAAAAAGAGUAUAUAAGCUUCUGAACCCCAUUGGGUUAUUCUGUACCCCAUUG